This is a long non-coding RNA of Helianthus annuus (common sunflower), 564 nucleotides long. RefSeq lists it as uncharacterized. The record is from RefSeq and is a predicted model, not a curated record. The transcript is spliced from 2 exons. NCBI's taxonomy places the organism in Eukaryota, Viridiplantae, Streptophyta, Magnoliopsida, Asterales, Asteraceae.
GGACAAAAUUUGCAAUUUACUCUUACUAUUAUAAGUUGUUUUACUACCACUACAAAGGCCAAAAAAAGAAAAAAAAAUAAUAAAGCAAAAUAAAGCAUCAUACAUAUUUUUGCUUGUAUAUAAACCAACAAACCGUGUUACCCUACUACCUCCAUUUCACCAUCAAUUUUCACUCGCAAUUCAAUCACAAUGUCUCUGCCUCCCAAAAGAGGAAAGAUCACUGAUCAAGUGUUCACCGAAUUUCACCGUGACAUUGCUUCUGCAGCCACCAAAGUUCUAAACGCUUUUGGUAACAACGCUAUAACUACCAGAGGCAACGGCAACAGUGGUCGUGGAGAUGCCGGUGGUUGUGGACUCUUCGGAUCUCCGAAUGCCAACAAUGGUCCGUGAUCUAUGAAUAUUAGUUUUUAACGGAUAUAUUAUGAAGAAUAAUUGAAUAUGAUGGUGAAGAAUGAUCUGCUUGUGGGCUUGUAGCGUACGGACUGUGUAACUUGUGUGGUCAUGGUUUUUGGAAUUUGCUAAUUUUCGGAACUACGAAUAUGUGUAAUUUUCUUUGCUUCUAUA